UUCCCUAAAAUUUAACUAAUAAUUAUAAUCAUAUAUAUAAAAUGAAUAAUUGAAAGUGGUUUGGGUUAGAGUGUAACUGGUCGGUUUAGUUUAACCUUUUGAAAGAAAAAAAAUUGGACUAAUAAAAAAUAGUCAUUGCAUUUUUUGUAAGUUUUUCUUGCGAAAUUUGAACCAAACAAAAUCAAUUUGGUUCAAUUCAAUUAGGUUGAAAUUUGUCAAAGCAACAAAUCAAUAAAAAAAACAUAAAAAACAUGUUAGAUGUUUUCUCUCCCGACCCUUCGUGUUACUUUUA
RNAcentral lists this long non-coding RNA (292 nucleotides) under Trifolium pratense (red clover). Its description in RNAcentral is "long non-coding RNA (TPRA_LNC004163)". Lineage: Eukaryota; Viridiplantae; Streptophyta; Magnoliopsida; Fabales; Fabaceae. The record is from RNAcentral.